RNAcentral lists this ribosomal RNA (253 nucleotides) under uncultured bacterium. RNAcentral's name for it is "partial 16S ribosomal RNA". It matches the Rfam family "Bacterial small subunit ribosomal RNA", at positions 524 to 776 of the family's 1533-position model. The record is from RNAcentral.
UACGUAGGGGGCAAGCGUUGUCCGGAUUUAUUGGGCGUAAAGAGCGUGUAGGCGGCCUUUUAAGUCCUGCGUGAAAUCCUGCGGCUCAACCGCAGACGGUCGUGGGAAACUGGAAGGCUAGAGUGCGGGAGAGGAGAGUGGAAUUCCCGGUGUAGCGGUGAAAUGCGCAGAUAUCAGGAGGAACACCAAUUGCGAAGGCAGCUCGCUGGGACGUUACUGACGCUGAGACGCGAAAGCGUGGGGAGCAAACAGG